RNAcentral lists this unclassified non-coding RNA (200 nucleotides) under Tomentella sp. RNAcentral describes it as "partial internal transcribed spacer 2". The record is from RNAcentral. Lineage: Eukaryota; Fungi; Basidiomycota; Agaricomycetes; Thelephorales; Thelephoraceae.
UUAAGUUCAGCGGGUAGUCCUACCUGAUUUGAGAUCAAACAUUCAAAGGGCUGUCCUCACUGAGGAGAGACAUCUAUGAGCUCCAGUGAACCUCCACUGCUGUGAAGGUUAUCUGAUGGAAAACCACGAGCGUAGAUAGUUAUCACACCCAGGAUACCCAGCAAACACUGGUAAGCUGAUUUAUUUUAGAGGAGCUGAUC